RNAcentral lists this ribosomal RNA (254 nucleotides) under uncultured bacterium. RNAcentral's name for it is "partial 16S ribosomal RNA". It matches the Rfam family "Bacterial small subunit ribosomal RNA", at positions 524 to 776 of the family's 1533-position model. The record is from RNAcentral.
UACGUAGGGGGCAAGCGUUUGUCCGGAAUUAUUGGGCGUAAAGAGCGUGUAGGCGGUCCGGUAAGUCAGCUGUGAAAGUCAAGGGCUCAACCCUUGAAUGCCGGUUGAUACUGUCGGGCUAGAGUCCGGAAGAGGCGAGUGGAAUUCCCGGUGUAGCGGUGAAAUGCGCAGAUAUCAGGAGGAACACCGGUGGCGAAGGCGGGUCUCUGGGCCGAUACUGACGCUGAGGAGCGAAAGCGUGGGGAGCGAACAGG